GGGUAGGUGGCAGAGUGGUUGAAUGCGCUAGUCUCGAAAACUAGUGUGGGUGCAAGCCCAUCGGGGGUUCGAAUCCCCCCCUACCCGCCA
RNAcentral lists this transfer RNA (90 nucleotides) under Alphaproteobacteria bacterium. Its description in RNAcentral is "tRNA-Ser". It matches the Rfam family "tRNA". From Rfam's summary of the family: Transfer RNA (tRNA) molecules are approximately 80 nucleotides in length. RNAcentral also lists the same sequence under 1 other name. Lineage: Bacteria; Pseudomonadati; Pseudomonadota; Alphaproteobacteria. The record is from RNAcentral.